ACUCCUACGGGAGGCAGCAGUGGGGAAUAUUGCACAAUGGGCGCAAGCCUGAUGCAGCCAUGCCGCGUGUAUCGAAGAAUGGGCCUUCGGGUUGAUAAAGCACUUUCAGUUGUGAGGAAAGGUUAGUCGCUAAUAUCGGCUAGCCGAUUUGACUGUUGACAACAGAAGAAGCACCGGCUAACUCCGUGCCAGCAGCCGCGGUAAUACGGAGGGUGCGAGCGUUAAUCGGAAUUACUGGGCGUAAAGCGCGUGUAGGUGGCUUGUUAAGCCAGAUGUGAAAG
RNAcentral lists this ribosomal RNA (281 nucleotides) under uncultured bacterium. Its description in RNAcentral is "partial 16S ribosomal RNA". It matches the Rfam family "Bacterial small subunit ribosomal RNA", at positions 335 to 600 of the family's 1533-position model. The record is from RNAcentral.